RNAcentral lists this ribosomal RNA (431 nucleotides) under uncultured bacterium. RNAcentral's name for it is "partial 16S ribosomal RNA". It matches the Rfam family "Bacterial small subunit ribosomal RNA", at positions 29 to 505 of the family's 1533-position model. The record is from RNAcentral.
AACGAACGCUGGCGGCAUGCCUAACACAUGCAAGUCGAACGAGACCUUCGGGUCUAGUGGCGCACGGGUGCGUAACGCGUGGGAACCUGCCCUUAGGUUCGGAAUAACUCCCCGAAAGGGGUGCUAAUACCGGAUAAUGUCUUCGGACCAAAGAUUUAUCGCCUUUGGAUGGGCCCGCGUUGGAUUAGCUAGUUGGUAGGGUAAAAGCCUACCAAGGCGACGAUCCAUAGCUGGUCUGAGAGGAUGAUCAGCCACACUGGGACUAAGACACGGCCCAGACUCCUACGGGAGGCAGCAGUGGGGAAUAUUGGACAAUGGGCGAAAGCCUGAUCCAGCAAUGCCGCGUGAGUGAUGAAGGCCUUAGGGUUGUAAAGCUCUUUUACCCGGGAUGAUAAUGACAGUACCGGGAGAAUAAGCUCCGGCUAACUCCG